RNAcentral lists this ribosomal RNA (720 nucleotides) under Triticum aestivum (bread wheat). RNAcentral's name for it is "partial small subunit ribosomal RNA". Lineage: Eukaryota; Viridiplantae; Streptophyta; Magnoliopsida; Poales; Poaceae. The record is from RNAcentral.
AUGACUUACACAUUACAGACUAGACAGAGGAAAUACUUAUCCCUGCCGGAUGGCUGGCCGGUGUCUUUCUUCCGGCGGUUUUGGCUGGCGCUCAAGGACAUUUUCUAUGAUAUUAUCAACGGGUUUGCGCUAGGCACAGUAGACAUCUCGCACCUCAACUUUGGCGUCAUCAGCCUCAUCCCUAAAGUUAAAGGGGCUGACUCGAUUAAGCAAUACCGCCCCAUCACCCUUAUUAACGUGCCUUUCAAAUUAUGCUCCAAGGCAUACACUACGAGACUUGCACCGGUUGCAUAGCGUGUGAUCGACCGUAGCCAGUCGGGUUUCCUCAAAGGCCGUAACAUCCUAGAAGGUCUGGUGGUACUGCAAGAGAUCGUUCACGAGCUUAAGCGCACGCGUCAGCCGGCCGUGCUCUUUAAGCUUGACUUCGAGAAAGCCUACGACCGAGUGAACUGGGAGUUCAUUCGCGAGGUGCUGACUCGGAAGGGAUUCGAGUCGGGUUUCAUUCAUUGCAUCAUGCAACUUGUCUCGGGGGGACAGACUGCGGUGUCGAUUAACGGAGAAGUGGGGAACUUCUUCCGCAACAAGUGCUGGCCAUCCUCAGGGAAGAGGAGGAAUAUUGGCGCCGUAGGGGCGGCGUCAAGUGGAUUACCAAGAGGGGCACAAAUACGGGCUAUUUCCACGCCUUUGCUAACGGCCGCAAAAGGAAAUGUUCGAUUCUGA